GUGAGGAAUAUUGGACAAUGGGCGCAAGCCUGAUCCAGCCAUGCCGCGUGCAGGAAGACGCAUCUAUGGUGUGUAAACUGCUUUUGUACGGGAAGAAACACUCCCUCGUGAGGGAGCUUGACGGUACCGUAAGAAUAAGGAUCGGCUAACUCCGUGCCAGCAGCCGCGGUAAUACGGAGGAUCCAAGCGUUAUCCGGAAUCAUUGGGUUUAAAGGGUCCGUAGGCGGUUUACUAAGUCAGUGGUGAAAGCCCAUCGCUCAACGAUGGAACGGCCAUUGAUACUGUUAGACUUGAAUUACAAGGAAGUAACUAGAAUAUGUAGUGUAGCGGUGAAAUGCUUAGAUAUUACAUGGAAUACCAAUUGCGAAGGCAGGUUACUACUUGUGGAUUGACGCUGAUGGACGAAAGCGUGGGGAGCGAACAGGAUUAGAAACCCGAGUAGUCC
Molecule: ribosomal RNA, 445 nt
Filed under: uncultured bacterium
Lineage: Bacteria
Description: partial 16S ribosomal RNA
Rfam family: Bacterial small subunit ribosomal RNA
Source: RNAcentral